Molecule: small nuclear RNA, 35 nt
Filed under: Cervus elaphus hippelaphus
Lineage: Eukaryota; Metazoa; Chordata; Mammalia; Artiodactyla; Cervidae
Source: RNAcentral
GUGCUCGCUUCGGCAGCACAUAUACUAAAUUUUGA